UACGUAGGGUGCAAGCGUUGUCCGGAAUUAUUGGGCGUAAAGAGCUCGUAGGCGGUUUGUCGCGUCGGCUGUGAAAACCCGGGGCUCAACCCCGGGCCUGCAGUCGAUACGGGCAAACUAGAGUGCGGUAGGGGAGACUGGAAUUCCUGGUGUAGCGGUGAAAUGCGCAGAUAUCAGGAGGAACACCGGUGGCUAAGGCGGGUCUCUGGGCCGUAACUGACGCUGAGGAGCGAAAGCGUGGGGAGCGAACAGG
This 253-nucleotide ribosomal RNA is filed under the name uncultured bacterium. RNAcentral describes it as "partial 16S ribosomal RNA". It matches the Rfam family "Bacterial small subunit ribosomal RNA", at positions 524 to 776 of the family's 1533-position model. The record is from RNAcentral.